Molecule: ribosomal RNA, 70 nt
Filed under: Acanthamoeba sp. HS-T3
Lineage: Eukaryota; Discosea; Longamoebia; Acanthamoebidae
Description: partial 18S rRNA
Source: RNAcentral
GAUUAGGAGACGUUGAAUACAAAACACCGCUGUUAAUCCUUUCGGGGGUUAAUAGUUGGUGAAUGACUCC